UACGAAGGGGGCUAGCGUUGUUCGGAAUUACUGGGCGUAAAGCGUAUGUAGGCGGAUCGUUAAGUCGGGGGUGAAAUCCCGAGGCUCAACCUCGGAACUGCCUUCGAUACUGCGGUGCUUGAGGACUGGAGAGGAGACUGGAAUUCAUGGUGUAGCAGUGAAAUGCGUAGAGAUCAUGAGGAAGACCAGUGGCGAAGGCGGGUCUCUGGACAGUUCCUGACACUGAGGCACGAAGGCCAGGGGAGCAAACGGG
RNAcentral lists this ribosomal RNA (253 nucleotides) under uncultured bacterium. Its description in RNAcentral is "partial 16S ribosomal RNA". It matches the Rfam family "Bacterial small subunit ribosomal RNA", at positions 524 to 776 of the family's 1533-position model. The record is from RNAcentral.